Molecule: ribosomal RNA, 1337 nt
Filed under: uncultured bacterium
Lineage: Bacteria
Description: bacterial SSU rRNA
Rfam family: Bacterial small subunit ribosomal RNA
Source: RNAcentral
GACGAACGCUGGCGGCGCGCCUAACACAUGCAAGUCGAACGAGGGAGAGGGAGCUUGCUUCCUCAAUCGAGUGGCGAACGGGUGAGUAACGCGUGAGGAACCUGCCUCAGAGAGGGGGACAACAGUUGGAAACGACUGCUAAUACCGCAUAAGCCCACAGGUCGGCAUCGACCAGAGGGAAAAGGAGCAAUCCGCUUUGAGAUGGCCUCGCGUCCGAUUAGCUAGUUGGUGAGGUAAUGGCCCACCAAGGCAACGAUCGGUAGCCGGACUGAGAGGUUGAACGGCCACAUUGGGACUGAGACACGGCCCAGACUCCUACGGGAGGCAGCAGUGGGGAAUAUUGCACAAUGGGGGAAACCCUGAUGCAGCGACGCCGCGUGGAGGAAGAAGGUCUUCGGAUUGUAAACUCCUGUUGUUGAGGAAGAUAAUGACGGUACUCAACAAGGAAGUGACGGCUAACUACGUGCCAGCAGCCGCGGUAAAACGUAGGUCACAAGCGUUGUCCGGAAUUACUGGGUGUAAAGGGAGCGCAGGCGGGAAGACAAGUUGGAAGUGAAAUCUAUGGGCUCAACCCAUAAACUGCUUUCAAAACUGUUUUUCUUGAGUAGUGCAGAGGUAGGCGGAAUUCCCGGUGUAGCGGUGGAAUGCGUAGAUAUCGGGAGGAACACCAGUGGCGAAGGCGGCCUACUGGGCACCAACUGACGCUGAGGCUCGAAAGUGUGGGUAGCAAACAGGAUUAGAUACCCUGGUAGUCCACACCGUAAACGCCAAUAAGGGGUGUGGAGGAUUGACCCCCCCAGGGCCGCAGAUAACACAAUAAGUAAUCCACCUGGGGAGUACGGCCGCAAAGGUUGAAACUCAAAGGAAUUGACGGGGGCCCGCACAAGCAGUGGAGUAUGUGGUUUAAUUAGACGCAACGCGAAGAACCUUACCAAGUCUUGACAUCCCUCGACGAACAUAGAAAUAUGUUUUCUCUUCGGAGCAAGGAGACAGGUGGUGCAUGGUUGUCGUCAGCUCGUGUCGUGAGAUGUUGGGUUAAGUCCCGCAACGAGCGCAACCCUUACUGUCAGUUACUACGCAAGAGGACUCUGGCAGGACUGCCGUUGACAAAACGGAGGAAGGUGGGGAGGACGUCAAAUCAUCAUGCCCCCUAUGACUUGGGCUACACACGUACUACAAAGGCGGUAAACAAAGAGAAGCAAGACCGCGAGGUGGAGCAAAACUCAGAAACAACGUCCCAGCUCGGACUGCAGGCUGCGACUCGCCUGCACGAAGUCGGAAUUGCUAGUAAUCGUGGAUCAGCAUGCCACGGUGAAUAAAAUGCCCCGCCUUGCACU